Molecule: ribosomal RNA, 1280 nt
Filed under: Lignincola laevis
Lineage: Eukaryota; Fungi; Ascomycota; Sordariomycetes; Microascales; Halosphaeriaceae
Description: eukaryotic LSU rRNA
Rfam family: Eukaryotic large subunit ribosomal RNA
Source: RNAcentral
UUGACCUCGGAUCAGGUAGGGUUACCCGCUGAACUUAAGCAUAUCAAUAAGCGGAGGAAAAGAAACAACAGGGAUUGCCUCAGUAACGGCGAGUGAAGCGGCAACAGCUCAAAUUUGAAAUCUGGCGCCCUUGGGUGUCCGAGUUGUAAUUUGCAGAGGAUGCUUUGGGCGAGGUGCCUUCCGAGUUUCCUGGAACGGAACGCCAUAGAGGGUGAGAGCCCCGUACGGUGUGGCACCGAGCCUCUGUAAAGCUCCCUCGACGAGUCGAGUAGUUUGGGAAUGCUGCUCUAAAUGGGAGGUAAACUCCUUCUAAAGCUAAAUAUCUGCCAGAGACCGAUAGCGCACAAGUAGAGUGAUCGAAAGAUGAAAAGCACUUUGAAAAGAGAGUUAAACAGCACGUGAAAUUGUUGAAAGGGAAGCGCUCGUGACCAGACUUGGUGCGGCGGUUCAGCAGUCCUUCUGGGCUGUGCACUCCGCCGUCCCAGGCCAGCAUCAGCUGCCGGUUGGGGAGAAAGGCGGUGGGAAUGUGGCCCUUCGGGGUGUUAUAGCCCGCCGUCAUGCCCUUCCGGCGGUUGAGGAUAGCGUCUUGCACGGAUGCUGGCGUAAUGGUCCCUAGCGACCCGUCUUGAAACACGGACCAAGGAGUCGUUCUGCUGUGCGAGUGUUUGGGUGUCAAGCCCCAGCGCGAAAUGAAAGUGAACGGAGGUGGGAGCCUCGGCGCACCAUCGACCGAUCCUGAAGUUUACUGAUGGAUUUGAGUAAGAGCACAGCGGACCGGACCCGAAAGAAGGCGAACUAUGCUUGGAUAGGGCAAAGCCAGAGGAAACUCUGGUGGAGGCUCGCAGCGGUUCUGACGUGCAAAUCGAUCGUCAAAUCUGAGCAUGGGGGCGAAAGACUAAUCGAGCCUUCUAGUAGCUGGUUUCCGCCGAGGUUUCCCUCAGGAUAGCAGUGCUGAUUCUCAGUUUUAUGAGGUAAAGCGAAUGAUUAGGGACUCGGGGGCGCUAUUUAGCCUUCAUCCAUUCUCAAACUUUAAAUAUGUAAGGAGCCUCCGGUGCUUGGGUGACCGGAAGCAUUAGAAUGUACAGCACUAGUGGGCCAUUUUUGGUAAGCAGAACUGGCGAUGCGGGAUGAACCGAUCGCGGGGUUAAGGUGCCGGAGUGGUCGCUCAUCAGACACCACAAAAGGUGUUAUCACAUCUUGACAGCAGGACGGUGGCCAUGGAAGUCGGAAUCCGCUAAGGACUGUGUAACAACUCACCUGCCGAAUGUGAUAGCCCUGAA